Molecule: ribosomal RNA, 459 nt
Filed under: uncultured bacterium
Lineage: Bacteria
Description: partial 16S ribosomal RNA
Rfam family: Bacterial small subunit ribosomal RNA
Source: RNAcentral
CCUACGGGUGGCAGCAGUGAGGAAUAUUGGUCAAUGGACGGAAGCCUGAACCAGCCAAGCCGCGUGCAGGAUGAAGGCUCUAUGGGUUGUAAACUUCUUUUGUACGGGAGUAAAGUUGAGUACGUGUUCCCUGCUGUAUGUACCGUACGAAUAAGCAUCGGCUAACUCCGUGCCAGCAGCCGCGGUAAUACGGAGGAUGCAAGCGUUAUCCGGAUUUAUUGGGUUUAAAGGGUGCGUAGGCGGUUUAUUAAGUCAGCGGUAAAAUUUUCGGGCUCAACCCGGGCCGGCCGUUGAAACUGGGGGUCUUGAGUGGGCGAGAAGUAUGCGGAAUGCGUGGUGUAGCGGUGAAAUGCAUAGAUAGCACGCAGAACGCCGAUUGCGAAGGCAGCAUACCGGCGCCCGACUGACGCUGAGGCACGAAAGCGUGGGGAUCGAACAGGAUUAGAUACCCUUGUAGUC